UACGUAGGGUGCGAGCGUUGUCCGGAAUUAUUGGGCGUAAAGAGCUUGUAGGCGGUUUGUCGCGUCUGCUGUGAAAAUCCGAGGCUCAACCUCGGACUUGCAGUGGGUACGGGCAGACUAGAAUGUGGUAGGGGAGACUGGAAUUCCUGGUGUAGCGGUGAAAUGCGCAGAUAUCAGGAGGAACACCGAUGGCGAAGGCAGGUCUCUGGGCCACUACUGACGCUGAGAAGCGAAAGCAUGGGGAGCGAACAGGAUUA
RNAcentral lists this ribosomal RNA (257 nucleotides) under uncultured prokaryote. RNAcentral's name for it is "partial 16S ribosomal RNA". It matches the Rfam family "Bacterial small subunit ribosomal RNA", at positions 524 to 780 of the family's 1533-position model. The record is from RNAcentral.